Oreochromis niloticus (Nile tilapia) is the source of this 1527-nucleotide long non-coding RNA. RefSeq lists it as uncharacterized. The transcript is spliced from 4 exons. The record is from RefSeq and is a predicted model, not a curated record. Lineage: Eukaryota; Metazoa; Chordata; Actinopteri; Cichliformes; Cichlidae.
GCGUUUGUACUCGUUGCCUACAAGAGCGCCCAAAUUUGAACAUCACUGAUGUUCAUCGGAUUUACAGAGUGACGACAACCCCCGUCAGCAUGUUAGAUAAAGGAUUUAAGUUAUAUGCUGCAUCAUAUAUACACAACUACGAAGUGUCCAAAAAACACAGGUUGACAGGGGAAGUCGGUGUGAGAGCCCUGUGCUACAGGUCAAUGAGGAAGAGUGAGGCACCACACAGACUAAGUGUAGGCAGGAAGCUGUGUAAAGUUGUUAAUCCCUGUUCAGUGGGGUUCAGUUCAUUUAAGCAUUAGUUAAGUUCAUUCCUGAAGGCCCAUCAACUUGAAUGUUUUCCUUGUCCCCCUGCUUUAUCACACCUAAUUUGACUAGUCAGAUGUGUUUGGGUGAUCAGAAACAAAUUUACACCAAGUUAAUACUGCAAAUAUACACAAUCUAAGUUAUUACAGUUAUCAAGGAUGGUUAAAUUGUUUUAAUAGGGAGAGAAGGAAACACUAAGCAUUCAGGAGGGUAAGCCUGUAGGGGUCAGUAACCAUAACACUGAACUAUGUUCCUGUUCGGCUCUUCCAUGAAGAUGAUGUUACAUUUUUAAUUUUAGUUCUUUCUUCUUAGAUUAAGCUUCUGGAUUCAUCGCCGGUGGUACUGACACAUAGCCAGUGCUCCUGUGUGGCAGGUGCUGUUAUGUGCAAUCACACAGUGGCACUGCUCUUCCAAACAGCACACUACUCACAACUCAGAGUGCCGGUUGUCCCCCUGUGCAUAGCUGCACCGAAUCUGAACAGCAAUGGCACAAGCCACGGACAGUGGGUGUGAAGCCAGGACCUAUCAACUCUAUGAUCUUCACUAAGCCGGUACCAAAUAGGAUGGCCCAGACUGGAGUACGGAGUGGAUUCUACAGAGGCAUUGUGGGUCCAUUACCAGAUCCCUGACCUGACAAGCCCCUUGUGGAAAGUGCCUUUGGGCUGGUGCAGGAGGGCAGUGUUCUGUCAUGUCAGCAGCCGGUUUUGACAACCCGGUACAUCACACUACACCGUGAUGCACCACCAACACCGCACUUGCCUCUGGAGUAUGGGUAUGACAUGAAGGAAACCCUGCUCGCUCAGACAGCCUGUGAUAUUUUCUCAAACCGCUGCGCUGAACCAGUUUCCAAAGAACAUGCUGUGUGACACAAUAAAUAUCCUUUAACCUGUUAACCUGUGGCUUCUGGAAGAAACUCGGGUGAGUCAGUCACUGCAAACACAUUUGUAUCAUCAAGUGUUUGUCAAAUGAAAAUGAUAUGUUUUUCUACACUUAGGAUAAUUUUCUAUGUUGCAGUGCAGUAAAGUGCACGUUUCUUCUGUGUUCAAUCAUACAUGUUCUAAUUGUUAUAAACAGAAAAAAUCUUUUCUUACUUAACUGCUUGAUUCUUAACUUGUUUAACUGAAACAUGAUGAAAUGUCAUAGUAUUAUUUUUUUUUUUUAAAUGUCCUUGGCAGUGCAUGUGUCUGCAUUGUAACUUACUAAUAAAAAGUCCUGUGUGUA